RNAcentral lists this ribosomal RNA (517 nucleotides) under uncultured Acidobacteriota bacterium. Its description in RNAcentral is "bacterial SSU rRNA". It matches the Rfam family "Bacterial small subunit ribosomal RNA", at positions 355 to 888 of the family's 1533-position model. The record is from RNAcentral. Lineage: Bacteria; Pseudomonadati; Acidobacteriota.
UGGGGAAUUUUGCGCAAUGGGGGAAACCCUGACGCAGCAACGCCGCGUGGAGGAUGAAGUCCCUUGGGACGUAAACUCCUUUCGACCGGGACGAUAAUGACGGUACCGGUGGAAGAAGCCCCGGCUAACUUCGUGCCAGCAGCCGCGGUAAUACGAGGGGGGCGAGCGUUGUUCGGAAUUAUUGGGCGUAAAGGGCGCGUAGGCGGUGCGGUAAGUCACCUGUGAAACCUCUGGGCUCAACUCAGAGCCUGCAGGCGAAACUGCCGUGCUGGAGUGUGGGAGAGGUGCGUGGAAUUCCCGGUGUAGCGGCGAAAUGCGUAGAUAUCGGGAGGAACACCUGUGGCGAAAGCGGCGCACUGGACCACAACUGACGCUGAGGCGCGAAAGCUAGGGGAGCAAACAGGAUUAGAUACCCUGGUAGUCCUAGCCCUAAACUAUGGAUGCUUGGUGUGUCGGGUACCCAAUCCCGACGUGCCGAAGCUAACGCGAUAAGCAUCCCGCCUGGGGAGUACGGUCG